Molecule: transfer RNA, 69 nt
Filed under: Euproctus montanus
Lineage: Eukaryota; Metazoa; Chordata; Amphibia; Caudata; Salamandridae
Description: tRNA-Ala
Rfam family: tRNA
About the family: Transfer RNA (tRNA) molecules are approximately 80 nucleotides in length.
Source: RNAcentral
AAGGUUUUAGCUUAAUUAAAGUGUCUGGGUUGCAUUCAGAAGAUGUGGGGUAGAGUCUCGCAGGUCUUA